UACGUAGGGUGCGAGCGUUUGUCCGGAAUUAUUGGGCGUAAAGGGCUCGUAGGCGGUUUGUCGCGUCGGGAGUGAAAACCAUGGGCUUAACUCAUGGCUUGCUUCCGAUACGGGCAGACUAGAGGCAUGCAGGGGAGAACGGAAUUCCUGGUGUAGCGGUGAAAUGCGCAGAUAUCAGGAGGAACACCGGUGGCGAAGGCGGUUCUCUGGGCAUGUCCUGACGCUGAGGAGCGAAAGUGUGGGGAGCGAACAGG
RNAcentral lists this ribosomal RNA (254 nucleotides) under uncultured bacterium. RNAcentral describes it as "partial 16S ribosomal RNA". It matches the Rfam family "Bacterial small subunit ribosomal RNA", at positions 524 to 776 of the family's 1533-position model. The record is from RNAcentral.